AUGAAACAGUUUCUUGGCCACCUGUCAAAUGCGAAACAUAUGAAGAUGCUGACUAAAUAUUUUGGUAAAGCUCAAAGAGGAUUUGGUUUUUGCCAAAAAGCGAAAGUGUACCUGGCCCUUUUCACCUAUGUCUGUGAUCGCUUGAAGCGAAAUCAGCCAACUGUUGGAACAUCUUUAGUGGUGACCUGCAUCUGCUCACAGGUCGAGGCCGAACCGUUUUCCUUGUGCUUCGCUUGUCAGGAGUCUUUCCUUCAGUCCCAUCUAAGCAUCCACUUUGAAUCUAAAAGGCACCUCAUCAACACACUGCUGUACCUGAAUCCUUGGCGGCUGCCUUUUGGCUGGCAGGACAGCCUGGACGAAAGCCCACUGAGGUUGAUGGCAAGAGAGGAGGAAGGAGAAGGCACAGAUGUUAUUUUGAAGGUUUUUGAUCUGUCAUAUGAAAUGUUUUGUAAGCUCAUACCUACAGACUACAGACAUGUGAUGAACAGACUUCAAGUGUAUCACAUGCCUUUAAAGUGUGAAGUUCCAAAAAAGCAAACCUUUAGCAAACUCCAACAAAAUGAGAAGUUUCCUCUGCUUGGCAUGCAGUUUUUGGUGGUUUACAAUGCCUUGUCCAGUGACUGGGAGUCUGUGCAAAAGAACCCUCUGUGUUUGCUCUGUAAAAGGAAACUGACGCAGAAUGAAUAUCCAGUUCACGUGUUCAGCUGGGAACACGUGAUGCUUUUUCUGAAUGCCUUUCACCCCGGCUCACUGAACUUCAGUACUGUUGAUGCAGAAACGUUGUUGGAUUUGGCAAAACAGGCAGGCUCUGUUCACCACCUAUCCUGUGUGCAGGUGUUACAUUCCACACAAUGA
Molecule: long non-coding RNA, 855 nt
Filed under: Oryzias sinensis (Chinese medaka)
Lineage: Eukaryota; Metazoa; Chordata; Actinopteri; Beloniformes; Adrianichthyidae
Description: lncRNA (ENSOSIG00000006490.1)
Source: RNAcentral